This is a long non-coding RNA of Asparagus officinalis (garden asparagus), 2041 nucleotides long. RefSeq lists it as uncharacterized. The transcript has 2 exons. The record is from RefSeq and is a predicted model, not a curated record. NCBI's taxonomy places the organism in Eukaryota, Viridiplantae, Streptophyta, Magnoliopsida, Asparagales, Asparagaceae.
GCGGCUUUCUUACCCUUACCCUUAUCGUCGGCAGUUUUUGGAAGCUAUGAGUUCGAAGUUUUGAAGAAGACAAGUAGAAAAUCAAAGAUGAUUUGUGUAGAUAAAAUGACUAGGGUUCAAAAGUCUAGAGAAGACAAAAUGAUUUUGUCGAAGGCAAAGCGGUGGGUUCGUCAGAGGGUGAGUUAUCUUCGGAUGCGAAAAAAAUUUCGCACAGCAACAGUGCGAAACGAUUGUAAGCCGUUGGAUUUAACAAACGACAGAUGAACAAUGAACACAUUCCGAAGAUAACUCACCCUCUCUCAUAACCCUCAACAUAUUCCCACUGUACUCCACAAACUCUCUGCCCCCAAAUCCUCCUCCCUCUCCCUCUCUUCCUCGUCACCCUAAGCUUCACCGCCGACCAUCUGCUGUUGGCGACCUCCUCCUCCGCCAUUAAGCCCCGUCACCACCAACUCUGGAUCCGACCCCGACCUCAACCCAACGACCACUCCGCCACGACACGAGACCCAAACUCCGGAUCCAACCCCAACCCCAACUCCAGCGACCACUCCGCAACGACAAGAGAGAGUCUUGAAUCAGUUUUUCCCUCUCUCUCGCCGGCGUCGAAGACCCCAUCAAAGACCCCCACCCUAGGACCGUCGGAGACCCCCCCACCCCGUCGAAGACGAUCCCUCCCCCUCUCUCGCCGACGCAGGUAAUAACCAACCCCUAUUUUUUUCUUUACAAUGCUGAAAUUAUUAAGCCAAGAUCGUUACCUGUUUGAUCAAAUGCCACAGUCCUAAGGAUAUUUUUUAUUUUAAAUUGGGUGCUCAAAUUAUACAGCAAAUGGAUGUUGGGUGCUCAAAUUAUUAAGCCAGGAUCGUUACCUGUUUGAUCAAAUGCCACAAAGACGUUUGGCAGCUAAUUACAUUCAUUUGUUGUUGAAAUUACACCUAUCUGUUGUUGAAAUUACAUUCAUUUGCGGAACACAUUGCAUAUUACAUUCUUUUAAUUGUUAUGUUGGGAUGUUUCAGUACAACACUUGGAGCGUGUGAAGUGGUACGGUCCACACGUUCGCCAUAUUGUAGCUGAUGUUAGAUGUCAAAAAGUCUAAAUCAAACAAUUACUAUAUGCAAGUAUUGUUUCUUAUCCGAGAGAAUCAGAGAAACAAAGUGAAGAGUGAGAUUAUACAACAAUGUAUCAUUGACAGAAUUUAUGAGCGAUCAUGUAUUACUUUUAAAGAUUUUUAAGCUAAUAUUUACCUGAACAUGAAGUGUGUUAUACGGUGCAUAAGCUUUCAUGUUUUCAGAUGUCUGCUUGUCAUCAAAGCUGUGGAGAACUUUAGUUUCUUAGGUUGUGUAGUUGUAGAGAACUUUAAAGAGAGGUUAUUUAAGUAUAAUAUAAAGGUGCCAGAAGCUUGAAUUUGAUUGGUUGUUGGAUUUCAAUUGUUAUGUUGGUCAUUUUGCUUGAAUUUGGUUACAUGAAUGCAGAUUUGGUUGAUAAAUUUAGACCACAAAUCAAAUAUACAUUUGCAUUGUAGUUAGGUUCAAACUAUUUCAAUUUGCCUUACUGAUCAUGACUAAAUUUGGUUUCAAGAUAAAGUUGUAUAUUUUGGUACAUAGAGUCAUAUUCAAGCACUCGUCAUAGAUUGAUGUGUCAUUGUGGAAGGAGGGCUAUACUCUCCAGAUCUGGAACAACGACGAACCCUGGUCGAUUGUUUUUGGGAUGCGCUAAUUGGAAAAUGAAUAAUUGUGGAUUCUUUAAAUGGGUGUCUGAUGAAGAGGAGUUUGAAGGUUCAAAGGUAGGGCUUGUUCAGACGAAGCAGUCGAGCGUGAUCCCGCAAGUUUCAAGUGCCGUGUCAAUUGGAGAAGUUCGGGAAAAGAGAAAGAUUGAAAUUGAUAUUAUGGAAUUGUUAAAGCUUUUUGUAUUUGUUCUUUUAUUCGGUAUUUUUCUUGGAUUUGUAUUUGGUAUUUUUAUUGGAUUUGUGCUAAGUAGGGUGUAAGAAUGGAUUAUUGGAUGAGUAAGAUUUGUAUUUGAUAUGAUAAAUUUGGUUUUGCUUCCA